This is a long non-coding RNA of Triticum urartu, 2627 nucleotides long. RefSeq lists it as uncharacterized. Lineage: Eukaryota; Viridiplantae; Streptophyta; Magnoliopsida; Poales; Poaceae. The record is from RefSeq and is a predicted model, not a curated record.
CCACGUCGGCAAGCUGCGUCGUUCGCUUCGUCGCGAAGAAAGCCCUCUGCUCUCCUCCUCUCCUGACGCACGCGCCUCCUCUCCCAGAAAUUUCUUUCUUCCCACAAGCAAUCUCCUCUCUCCCCAGGUAGGGUUGCCACCGCCACCGCCCCAUCGCUCCUUCGGCGCUGGCCACCGACGGAAGGUGGCGGCAAGAGCUAGAAGGUGAGUGGUGCCGCGAGCUCUCGUCCCGAGGAAGCCGCGGAAGGACAAGCACAACCCAGUCGAGAUGCGGUCGUCGGUGUCGUGAUGGGGUGGAGCUGCAGAGUAGGGGCGGCGACAAGGGGAAGGAGUAGACAAGGGAGGAGUGGAGAAGGUCGUCUCCCGCGCUGCACCGCGGACAAGAGGGUGGCGGGCGGCAGUCGCCGUGGCGGAGGAGAGGAAGACGAGCUGCCACGCAGGGGAGAGGAAGGAAAGUUGCGCCCAUGGUGAAAGCGAGGCAGCCCAAGGCUAUCGCGUAGGAGAACGGGGAGGGGGGCGCUGCCACGGAGAAGAGCGACGAGGGUUGCGGCGUCGCUGCAGAUGAGAAGGAGAGCCACUACACCGCACGAUUCCACAUGAACCUCUCAUCUUUAGGCUGAACAUCCUCUGAAAUUUUCUGUAGUGGGUACCCUGUUGUUCAUCUUCAGAACAUCCUCUGAAAUUUUACUUGGCUGACGAUGUUCUUACUCCAUCAUCUUCAGUACUGCUUGACUGCUUAUUUUUAUCUUAAUAGAAGUGCAGAUUCUAUUAUGGCAAAAUGUCCACUAUAUUUUUUUGACAGUUAAAUCUUCUUUAUUCAAAGGACAGGAGGGCUAUAUCAUUUACAACUAAAGAGAUUAACCUCACCACUUCUUGACUUUUUCUCUCUUUCCGGUGCCCUGCUUCCAGCACUUAUAGUCUUUGCUUGUGCAGAUUUUUAGUUUUGUACGCCUACAAGGUAUUUGAUGAAAAUCCCAUAGGGCUAGCAGGGAAGGAGUGGUCUAUAUAAGCCAUGUGAUUUCAUUCUUCAAAAAAUCAGUUCCAGACAAUCAUAACAAGAUGAUUUUAGAUUAAUAAGAAUCCAUGAGGUGAAUAAAAGUAUGAAGAAACAAAAGAUAUAUGAAAUUGUGUAUAUUUUGUUUGAUUGUGAGGUUAUUAGCUUUGCUUGUGUUCUAUUUGAUCCCUUGCGAAUGCGAAUAAGAAAAGAAAGUUGAAACAUGUUCACUAAAAUGUGUGCUUUGCUGGCUUUUGUUUUCAUGUAGGGAUGCAUUUGAGUGUACAGUUACCUGACUUUAUAUAGUGCUGCAUCUUUUGUUUAUCGCUAGAUCUGCUGUAUCAAAUCUGCAAAUGGCACCAACAUCAUACAGUGAGCUAUGCCUGAUAGCUAUUGCUGUCAUUUCCCCUCCUGAAAUCAUCCUUUUCCUAUAUGUAGUAGCUUCAGUAAGGUUGCUCACCAAUGAGCUGGGAGUAUUUUUGUCCUGGAUACUUGCAUGAUUGAAGAAGAAAUUUGGUAUUCCUAAAUGUGCUAUUAUAGAUCAAAGGCAAAGGAAAUGAAGCGCAGGCGCAGUGCCGCUAUCGCCGCCGGAUUUUCUCCCGGGUCAUGGGAGGCGUUUGGGAGGAUCGACUAGGAAGGAUCGAACGGCACCUGGAGAAGACCUACACAAGGGUGCCACCAAGAUCUUCAAGGACGUCCUCGACUCUGCCGGACAACAGAUUCCUUUACAAAUUCGAAGCGAGAACUCAAAAAAGAAAGGGCAAGGAAAUGAAGGGCGCAAGACUACUAGAGGCAAAGACAGGCGGACGCGGCCGGAGCAGUAUGGUGGCGUCGAUGGGUGUGGAGGAGUGUGUGAAGACGCUGCAGAGCACCGUUGAGGAGCUUGUCAGCAGGACGAGCUGCUCCCGCUGCUGCAUGGCAACCCAGCCGGAUCUGCCUCGACAGGUUCGAGCCCUCCGUCACCGGCCUCGUGCACAUCUGGCAGGGUGUUGGGAAGGUGGUCAAUGUGAACAAGAUGGUCAGGGCCAGAUGGAGAGUAAAGAUCCUAAUAGCGGACCAGAGGCCAACUUGGCAAGAUCAGGGAGCAGCUGGACCACGACAAGGACGUCGGCGGCGGCUUCUCCGCCAUGUGGGAUUAUUCCUUGACCUUUCACAAUUCCUUCAGGCGUCCAUAACAUCAAGCAUAAUUUUGGUGUUUCUUAACCUUUUGCAUUCUACUCUAAUCAGUUAAAUUAGGCCUAUGACUUAGAAGUUUUUCUUAAUACUUUUAGUUGUGAAAUUUGUUUUGUGGUCUUCUUCCUGAUUCGAUGUGAUUAGCACAAUACUAAAUUUGCCGGCUAUUGAUACUUCUGUGUGAACCAGAUUAAUCUAAAGCACCAAGAUCUGCUUGUUCAUUAUUUUGAUUCAAGCUAAUCGAAUGUUCAUUAUUUUGUGUCAAUACAGUACAAUGGAGAGCUAUCCAUGACAUGUGUGGGAGCAAUGGAACCGGAGGUGCUAGAUGCAGGCACUAAUUGUAUUUAGAGUUCGGCUGCAAUAAUGAAAUCUUUUAGGAUGGUACAACCUUGGACUAGGGGAUACCAUGAACAGAUCUUAUAGUCAAAUAAUUUAUGAGUGACUUCUACUGUUUACCUUA